CCCUGACAGUUACAUAGUGUAACUGACUCUAGCCACGACAGGAGACAAGCAUG
Molecule: non-coding RNA, 53 nt
Filed under: unclassified sequences
Description: Mu-gpT-DE RNA
Rfam family: Mu-gpT-DE RNA
Source: Rfam by way of RNAcentral